Molecule: long non-coding RNA, 24586 nt
Filed under: Glycine max (soybean)
Lineage: Eukaryota; Viridiplantae; Streptophyta; Magnoliopsida; Fabales; Fabaceae
Description: long non-coding RNA (GMAX_LNC001604)
Source: RNAcentral
ACUCCAAAUUGGUUGCUGGUCCCAAUGGAGGGUCUGCUGGGAAGCUCACUGUCAAAUACGAAACAAAAGGAGAUGCUGAGCCCAACCAAGACGAACUCAAAACUGGAAAAGCCAAGGCUGAUGCUCUCUUCAAGGCCAUUGAGGCUUACCUUUUGGCCCAUCCCGAUUACAACUAAUCCUCUUCAACUUACUUGUCAUCACUUUCUUGCUUGGAGACUUAUCCAAUCACUCUGUUCUCAACUUAAGUUGCCUUCCAAUGUAUCCAGUCUUUCCUUUCUUCUUUCCUUUUCCCAUAUAAUUGUGAGACUUAUGAUAUAUCUGUAUCUCACUUCAUCAAUAAUAAAUUAUAAUAAAGAUGAGCAAUCAUUACAACUUUUGUUUCUCUUAUGUUUACUAUUGCGAGUUUAAUAGUUUACACUUUUUUUUAAAAUGACACUUGUACGAAAUUGUUUCGUUGAUGGUUGAUUUUCGUAAAAAUUUAAUUAAUCACUUUUAAUGAAUUUUUUUCUUUUAAUUUAACUUUUUUCAUCUAUGAAAUUUAAAUCCGAAACAUUUAAGAUAUUCUAACUCGUUAUUCGGACUAACCACAUGUUAUUCUUGACUGAAUAUUUUGCUUGGAUUGUUGAAAAAUAUAACGUACCACAUCAGUUGGGAUGAAGAAAAGUGAAAAGUAUAUAUGUUUAAAACACUUUUUUGACAACUCCCACUUCAACUUGUAUACCAGACCAAUAACCAACACUUCUCACAUCGAGCUUAUGCUAAAAAUUCAAUAUGAAGUGAAACUUCUUGUUCCUCUGUAUUUUGCUUCUAAAAAAAACUCAAGAAUAAGUCCAAGCAAAGAACCAAAGGAGUAUGGUUUUAAGGUCUCUAAAGUACGAGCCCAAAAAAUAUACAAGUUUCAGUUGGGCAAAAAAAAAAACUUACCCAAUUGAACUUGAGGGAGAGCGUUGGAAAAUAUCAAGUCCCACGUCAGUUUCAUGAUUCUCAUCAUUCCCUCCUUCUUGGAAAACAUUUGUCCUCAAAUGUUCAGGAUCAUCACCGGGUUCAAGUACCACUUCCUUCCUUUUCUUGUGGGCUUGCUUGACAUAGCUUUCAUUCUUCUUUGCAAUUUGCACCUUCACUUGGUCAUACAAUCUUUUCACAUACUCAACUUUGGCAUGUGCAUCCUUACGUUGAGUCUCUUGGGGAUUGCUUUUGUAAGUUGGCUUGUUAGGCAAUGAAGCUCCGGGGAGGACAUCAACUUGAUGUUCUAUGCCUCUUGAAGGUGGUAGUCCAUGAGGAAUCUCCUUAGGAACGACAUUUUUAAAUUCCUGCAAUAAUGGUUGAACACUAGGAGAAAUAGAAAUAGUAAACUCAUUAGAAUUAUCAGUAGAAAUUUUACUGUCUUUGCAAUACUGUAGAUUGAGUGGUUCAUGAGCAGGUAACACUUUCCUCACUUCACUCGCCUCUGCAAAAUAAUUAAAUUUUCUCUCAUGUGUAUCACUCUUUUCCUCGGGUGUAUCACUCUUCUUUUUCAUAUUCCUUUGUGGAGCCUCACUAUUUUCUUUCUCUUGUUCUCUCUUUUCUCUCAUUCUGAUUUGGUCAUCACACACUUCUCUAGGGGAUAGAGGUUUAAGAGUAAACAAGGAAGAUUUGGUCAACAAACGUUGCAUUUGUGUAGUCCACGCGUCCAGAAAUAAGCGUUGAGAUUCAUCCAGUUGAUGAUAUACACCACCAUUGUCACCAGCUCUUGCCAUGAUUAAGGAACAAAGAAUUUUGCAGUAAAUUAAAAAAAAUUCAGGACCUCACCACACUCUACUCACGUGUUUCUCUCUUUAAUGGUAGUUCACUCGUGUUUGAUGCUCUCAAUAUAGGCUUUUGUGUGAUGUUUUCACUCUUGCCUUUUACCACUCACUCCCUCUUAAGUUCCUGGAUAGACCGAAUUAGACACACAAGGUAAUAUAAAAUAAAAGGAAAGACAAUAGAAUUAUCAGAGUAACAGAUUUGAUUUGGGAUAACAACUUGGACUUGAUUUGGAUAGCAGAUUGGAUUUGAUUUGGAUAACAGAUUAGAUUUGGAUAACAAAUCUGAUUUGGAUAAAUUUUUUUGAUUUGAUUUGAGUUGGAUAAUAGAUCAGAUUUGGGAUAACAAAUUAGAUUUAAUUUGGAUAACAGAUAUGAUAACAAAUAAGAUAACAGAUAGGAUAACAGAUAAGAUAACAGAUAUGACAACUAAACUUCAAAUGCUCAUAACUUUUGCUACGGUUAUCCGUUUGAGGCCCACUAUAUAUCAAAACGCUCAGAAUUCAGAGGAGAAUCUAGAUAAUGGGAUUUGGUACACGAUUUUCUGCCAAAAAAAAGCCUCUAACUGCCUCAAUUUCGUGUUCAAAGAUCAAACACCCACUUUCUCUUUUUUCUCUUUCUUCUUUUCUUCUCUUUUUUUUUUUCAAAAUUUCUGCAACUUUUUUUUUUUUUUUAUACUUGAAACAGAACCCAAACAAUUUUUUUUUGACACAAAGUCUGAAAGACACUAGAAACAAGAACAACAACAAGAACACAAACGUGACAAGAACAAGAACGAAACAAAGACACAAACAAGAACGCAACAAGACGCAAACAAGAAAAACAAAUAACAGAACAAGGACAAAACACGAACCAGGACAAAUUACAAAGAAAAAUAAUAGGAUAAGAUAGAACCUGUAUCAAGAGCCAAAGCUCUGAUACCAGAUGAUGUGAACCUGAGUAGGAGUGGAUCGCGUGAUACAGGCUGUAGAGUUUUUGGUUGACGCCACUUCCAGUGAAGGAAGAUAAGUCAGGGUAGACGCCACUUCCGAUGAAGGAAGAUAAGUCUGGGUAGACGCCACUUCCGGUUAAGGAAGAUAAGUCUGGGUAGACGCCACUUCCAGUGAAGGAAGAUAAGUCUGGGUAGACGCCACAAGGAUUACCUUGAUAAGUCUGAUAAUUGGUUCAACAAGGAACCCAGAGAGAAACUCUCACCCAAUUUUAUGAAAAUGCCAAAAGUUUUUUUAUUCAAAACAAAAACCCAUACUUAUAGUGUAGCUAAACAAAAAGAUAAAAAUAGACAUGGGCCUUUUAAACAGUUUGGGCCAAAAUUACAAUAAAAAUAAAUUAUAACUAAAAACUUAUUUAACUUGGGCCUUCAAAUUAGUUUGGGCCUUCAGCAACAAUUAAUAGUCUUGAUAGUGUCUCUGCCUCUGGGCCUUCAUCCUUCUCCACUUGGGCCUUCAUCCUUCUCCACUCGGGGGCUUUGUCCUUCUCCACUUGGGCCUUCGUCCUUCUCCACUUGGGCCUUUAGCCUGUAUUUGGCCAGUUUCAUGAUUCUCAUCAGUUGGAUGAUGAAAAUUGAAGAGUAUAUAUUUUGAAGUGUUAUGCCUAAAAACUGUCUAGACAUUCUUUUUUAACAGCCCAAUAACUGGCACGUACUUCUCAAAUUGGGCCUGUGCUAAAAAUUUAAGAAGGAUCAAAGUAAUUAAGUUAUAUUUAUAUACUCAAAAUUUAAAGUUAUAUAUAAUUAUAGUAAUUUAUAAUUGUAGUAAUCAACCAAAAAGUCACAAUUUAUAAAACAAUAUAUUGAAGGAAACACAAACAUAAAUUUACAAAACUUAACAAAAUACAUAACUAUGGUAAAACUGGUAGCUAACAUGAUAUAUUUAUAAAUUAUUAGCUUGGUAUAUUCUCAUUUUCUAACUAUUGAAUUUUCAAUCAUUAAAGAAGGAAAAAUCUUAUCUUAGCUUUUAAGUGCACUAGCUGCACUCUUUUUCUUUAAAAGAAAUAAUUCAAAAUAAUUAGUGAGUCACUUCAAUUGUACUCUCGCAUUUAAUGAAAAGACAUGUUUUAUUAAUGGAUCUUUUUCUGUCUAGGAUUCUCUUUAUUUUGGGGGAGAACACAUUUGCAUGUCAUAUAUGGCAUAUUUGAUCAGUAUAACUCCUUCAUCAAGUCUUAAAAAUUGCUCACCUUUUGAGCUUCUUUAUAAUUGCUAACGUGAUUUCUUUCUACUUAAGUUGUUCGGGUGCCUUGCUUUUGUUUAAAUCACCCCUUCCCAAAAGACUAACAUUUUCCUACGAACUUUGCCUUGCAUUUUCGUGGGCUAUCCCUUGGAGUCAAAGGUUUCAAGUUCCUUGAUCCUCAAUCAAAUAAGUUCAUCAUUUUCUCCAAUAUUAAAUUCAUAGAGUCUAGUUUUCCGCUUCAUUUUUGUUAGACAAAUGUAGGGAAUCCAUGGGUAGGUAAUAUCAUAUAUAGGCCCUGUUUAACUUAUAGAAGAAACUUAUUUUUAUUUUCUUCUUCUACGAGUUCAUGGAGAAAUUUACAAUAUGAUGUUAAUACUAAAAGACUUUUUUUUAUAUAAUAAUGUUAACACGACUAAUAUGUUAUCAAAAUUAUCCCUAAAAGAUGUAAAUUAACAAUUUAAACUAGCACAUGUAAUUAUUGUAUUUAGAAGGAUUUUAUUUUUAUAAAAUGAAAGAGUUCACCAUAAAAUAGGAUUCCGUCUUCAGACAAGUAACUGAUUAAUUGAAGUGAUAUUUAAUUCAAAAACAAUCAUGCCUUUCCAUGAUUAAUUCGAGGGCCUAGAGGAAAGAAGACCAGGAGGGUAAUUGGUCGUCAGCUUAGGGCUGCGCCUUCAAGGUAGAAAGAGGUUACCUGAAGACGCUCGUCCUUCAGGGUGCGGUGAAAGUCAAAAAACUGAGUGAUCUUGAAGAUCCAGGCCAGGGCAUUGGUACCAUCAAAUCGAGGUAUAUCAAGGUUCAUGUGUGGAGGGGAAGGUCGUGGUGACAUGGAUGGGGAAGAAACUUCGAGUGAUUGAAAACGAGAGAUAACCUUGUCGAGUCGGGAGUGAAGAGAGUUUUGGAUAGCGGUGAGGGUAUUUUGGUUCUGGGUGAGGAGGGUGACUGUCUCUUCUAGACGUGAGAGGGUGUGGCCACGAGUAUUGUCUGUCAUGGGAGGGUCAAUGAAAACACCGAUUGAUAAGGAUAGGAAUAUUCCUAAAUUGGAGGACAGGAAUCAACCUCCAAAAACAAAAAGUAAGAGAUAGAAUAGCUGAAAUUCUCAUUGUCUUCCUCUUGAUUCAUUACAACUAUUUAUAAGAUUAAAAAAAAAAAACAUAAACGCUAACAAUGCUGGAAAAAUAGGAGACAAGAUAAAGUCAAUUGUGAUCUUUAGGAGACAAGGAUCACGAAGCUGCAAAUCGUGCGUGAUAAGGCAAGCACGAUGAUGAAGGCACUACUCUGAAGGUAACUUUCCAAAAUUGUCCUUUUGGUAACUUGGCUGGUGCUAGACUCUUUAGUGAAUGUAUUCCUCCCAACUGAUGGGCCUCUUCAUGGUUCGCUUGGGUCGGGUUGCUUUAAUUUUUGGGUUUAGGCCCUGUUGAAUAUAAAAAAUAAUAAAAAUAAAAGUUUUUGUUUGCAUGAAAUGUAUUGGAUGAAGUCUAUUCCUCAACAGUUGACUUCUCUUAUUGAUGCUGAUGUAAUGGCUUUAGCCCAAUUUAUCUCAUAUUAGUAUUUUUAAAUUAUGAAAAAAAUUAACAAUAAAUUUAAAUGAGUAAAAAAAUGCNNNNNNNNNNNNNNNNNNNNNNNNNNNNNNNNNNNNNNNNNNNNNNNNNNNNNNNNNNNNNNNNNNNNNNNNNNNNNNNNNNNNNNNNNNNNNNNNNNNNNNNNNNNNNNNNNNNNNNNNNNNNNNNNNNNNNNNNNNNNNNNNNNNNNNNNNNNNNNNNNNNNNNNNNNNNNNNNNNNNNNNNNNNNNNNNNNNNNNNNNNNNNNNNNNNNNNNNNNNNNNNNNNNNNNNNNNNNNNNNNNNNNNNNNNNNNNNNNNNNNNNNNNNNNNNNNNNNNNNNNNNNNNNNNNNNNNNNNNNNNNNNNNNNNNNNNNNNNNNNNNNNNNNNNNNNNNNNNNNNNNNNNNNNNNNNNNNNNNNNNNNNNNNNNNNNNNNNNNNNNNNNNNNNNNNNNNNNNNNNNNNNNNNNNNNNNNNNNNNNNNNNNNNNNNNNNNNNNNNNNNNNNNNNNNNNNNNGCGUUUUCUAAUUAGUUGACAUUCUUUGAAAAUAGAACUUUAAUGUAUAAAAAUUAAACUUGUCAAAUAAUUCUAUCAAAAUUUGUUAAAUAUUUAAGCUUUUUAAAAAGGUUUAAAUACAAAAUCUAUUUUAUAAAUAAAUUCUAAUGAUAAAGAUUAAUUUUAUAGUAUUAUAUAAUAAUUUAAUAUAAAAAUAUUUCUAGUAUGUUUGGAUUGGCUUCACAGAUCCAUGGUUACCCACAUCUUCCCACGUCGAAGCUGAAACUCUAACAUGUAGCGUUGAGUUGGUUGCACGUAUUCCGAAUGUGGAUGCACUUCCAAAUUAACAUGCGCUUCAUUCCCACAAAUACAGCAAUCUGUCGUCAUGGAUGAACGUGGCAUUUUUUAAAAAACAUUUUGAACUCAUGUUUUUUUUAAUGAAUUUAUUUUUGGCUUAAUUGUAAAUUUAGUUUCUUUAUUUAUCUCAGGUUAGAAGUUUGAUUCAUUUAUAAUUUAAUUCACCAAUUAAAUCUUUUAAUUUUUUUUAAUUUAUUGUUUUAGUUUCCAAUCUUAAAAUUAGACAUUAAUUUUUAAUUAUUUAUGUUGAUCGUUAUGUUGUGUUGCUUUUAUUAAACAUUAAUUAGGUAAAUAAAAUUAAAGUAAAACACGUGAUUGUAACAUUCAAUAGAAAUAUGACAUAUCACAUGUGAUAAUUAAUAUUUAUCAAUGGAUGAAUUAAAUUAAAAGACUAAAUUUUUGAGUUAAAAUAAAUAGAGGGACCAAAUUUAUCAUUAAACCUUUAUUUUUCAGCAAUAGAAUGAAUCUUUAUUUCUUGUGGAUUGAAUUUGAAUGCUUCAAAAUUUGUAUAUUGAAUUUGAAUGCUUCAAAAUCUUAAUAGUAUUUGACAAACACAUAAAAUUUAUUAACAUUAAAAAAAAGUGAUUAAAAUAUUACACAGAUUAUGCAAGUGAAAAAAUCGACAUUUGAAAAUUGGAGUAGUUACUGAAAUAGAGACAAGAAAGACCGCCUAAAAUUAAAAGUCAUAUUCUUUUUUUUUCUCUGACAAUAUAUUCUUUUCUUAUUAUUCUUAAAAAUAUAUAGAUUUACAUUGUUUAAACAAAAUAUCACGUACAGGUAAAUACUUUAUAUAUUGAGUUUUUGUUAUCGAUCUCUUCAGAAUUCAUGCGUGAGAGAUGAUGAAUUUAGUGAUAAAAUUAAUUUUAUACGAAAAUGAGAAGAAUAAAUUCAAACUAUAUAAAUUAAUAUUGAAUUUCUUUUUUUAAAUCACAUCUAGAAAGAUUUUGUUUUUUGUUUUCAGAGAAAGAAUACUCUUGGUAAACUAAGAAGUAAGAACAACAACGUUGAAUCAUUGACUCAGCACCUUCAGACUAUGGUAUGGGGCGUACACACAAUUGUAGAGUGACGCCAGCGCAACUUUAGUGCUUAUAAAUAGAGGGCAUUCCUCUGCUAAAGAACCACACAGCAGCAAACAUCUCCUUCUCAAACUAGUAAUAUAUACUAUUAUUCAUCCAUUCCAUUCUAUAUAUUUCAUAAUGGGUGUUUUCACAUUCGAGGAUGAAACCACCUCUCCUGUGGCUCCUGCUACCCUUUACAAAGCUCUAGUUACGGAUGCUGACAACGUCAUCCCAAAGGCUGUUGACGCCUUCAGGAGUGUUGAAAACGUUGAGGGAAAUGGUGGCCCCGGAACCAUCAAGAAGAUCACUUUCCUUGAGGGUACUCUGUCACUCACUGUAUUCAUUUUAUUUACUAAUUCACUACUAUAUAUUUUCUAUUUUCUACCAUGAUAUGAUAAUAAAGCUGAUCUGAAUGAAUUGAUGAAUGCGGACAGAUGGAGAAACCAAGUUUGUGUUGCACAAAAUAGAAGCGAUUGAUGAGGCUAACUUGGGAUAUAGCUAUAGCGUAGUUGGGGGAGAUGGGUUGCCAGACACAGUGGAGAAGAUCACAUUCGAAUGCAAAUUGGCUGCUGGCGCCAACGGAGGGUCUGCUGGGAAGCUAACUGUCAAAUACCAAACCAAAGGAGAUGCUCAGCCCAACCAAGACGACCUCAAAAUUGGCAAAGCCAAGUCUGAUGCUCUUUUCAAGGCCGUUGAGGCUUACCUUUUGGCCCAUCCUGAUUACAACUGAUCCUCUUCAUCACUAUUCAGUCAGCAACGACCUUGCUUUAUAUUAUAUACAAGAGUUUUCUUGCCUUGUGUGGAGCUUUAUCCAAUCACUGUGUGUGGUGUGUGCUUAAGUUAAAAACUUGCCUUCCAAUUAAUGUAACGAGUGUUUCCUUUCUCAUUUCCUUUUGCCACAGAAUUGUGAGAGUCAGUUGAUAUCUUUGUAUGUGACUUCAAUAAAUUUUAAUAAAAGAAAGCAUCAUUUAAACUUUUGUUUGUUUUAUGUCUAUUAUAUAUAGUGAGUUUAUAUAGUUUUUAUUUUUUUAUUUUUUUAAAGAAUGAGUUGGAUGGAACUAUUAUUGAAAUUGGGCUGAAGUCAUUACAUCAGCAUCAAUAAGAGAAGUCAACUGUUGAAGAAUAUCCUCCAUCUAAUACAUUUAUUUCAUGGCUAAUAAAAGAUAAUUUAACUAAACUAUUCGCAUCAUUGUAACAAGAGACAGCUGAAUCCGUGUAAAUGAGGCUACUGCUAUAGGCUGCAAUCAGCAAUAAUACCCUGUAUAUAGCUUCUGAUUCCUCGGUCCCUUGUCCUCCAGUCAUGGAAAACAAUUUUGCAAUCCCUUUCAAACAUCACUUGUUGGAAACACAUUUCCGCUGCAUGCCUGCAACCUGCUUUGAACAACUUGUUUUGGAGAAAUCAUUAUUUAUCAUUUAAAAAGUAGGAAAAAUAUAAUAACUAAUCGUUCAGAAUAAGUUGAACCAAAUGCACAUAAUAACAUAAGUACUUAACAAUCUCUUGUGUAUAUAGUGGAAAACCACGACUAUUUUAGCAUUCGAUAUCACUUCAAUUGAUCAGUUAUUUCACUUAUUUGUGUGAAGAUGGAAUCCUUCUUUAUGGCGAACUCGAUCUCUCAUUUUACAGAAAUCAAAUCCUUUUAAAUGUACUCAAUGUGCUAGUUCAGAGUGCUAAUUUACAUCUUUUAGGUAUAAUUUCUAUAUCAAGUUAGACAUGUUUUAGCACUUUUUAUAAAAAAAGUGUUUUAAAAAUAUUAAUUGUUUUUAACUUUUUAGAUUGGUUUUAAGUGAGAUGUAUAAUCAAUUGAUAUAUAAAGUAAGUAUUUUGUAUAUCGAUUCCAAAACUAAUGCUAAAAUUAAAUGACUUUUGGUAUCAGUUAUAAUCAUGACAAAUAUAACUGAUAAAAAAAUAGGAAAAUCUAAAUUUUUAUUUCUUUUAAAAAUUAAAAAUAAAAUGUCAUGAAACAAACGACUUCCUUAAUACCGUACAUUCUAUAUUACACAAAUAUUUUUCACCAAUUGCUACACUUUCAAAUAUUCUUACUUAAAAUUUAAGCAUGAAGCUUGAAUUUAAAUUUAAGUUUUAAAUUUAGAAUUUCGACACAGUAGGUUUGGAUUUUGUACAACCUGGUUGGUAAGAAAAACUGUGAACCGUCAACUGUUAAGUAUUUGAGAAGUGAGAACAACUAGAAGUGAAUAUCAAUAAAGAGAACUGUGUUGCCGUGAAAAUGAUUUUAAAUAAACAAAAGUUUUAAUUAAUUUUUGAAAGACAACCUUAAUGGGGAUGUGACCAAACAUUAAAUAUAGAAACAUCUUUAAAAAGAGUUUCGAACGUGCGUUCACAACGUUAUGAAAUAUUAGAUCCAUUUGUUAUACUCAACUUUCGUUGAUUAUUAAAAUUAAUUUUGAAGAAAAAUAAUGAAUGCUUGAAUAUUUUUAUUCUUAAAAUAAGUUAAUAGUAAAAUUCAAUAUAAUUUUUUAUUUAAUAAAAAAUAUAUUUAAAAGUAACUUGAAUUUAAAAUUUAAUUUUCAACAUAAAAUCAAUUUAUUAUCGUCAAAACUAAUACGUGAAUAAAAUUUUCCUAAAAUUAUAUUAUAUUAGUUAAUUUUUUUAAUGUAAUUUUAGAUGAACGAACGUGAGACGCACUUGAUCCUUUGAAGAUUGGAGAGUCGAACGUGGCUUCCAUUAACAAUCUUCAGGAACAGUUGCAUUUGAAAUAUUUGUGCUGAUGAUAUCUUAGCUUAUCCGUUGGUUUAAUUUUUUGUCAUACGAAAGCUCUCUGUUGUCUAAUAUUUUUUUUUUCUUUUUGGCCGGCGUCAUUUAUCAAGUAUUGAAAAUAUUUGUAUUUUGAAUAGAAUUAUUUUUAUCUACCCAUCAUAAUGAAGACCAAAGUUUAUCGUCAAUAGUCAAAUGCGUGAACUAUAUACAAUCAAUUUAUUUCUCCGUAAUUACGUGUGACCGACACGAGAUUCGGUGCCGCAUAGACUUUCAUGUUUGAUCCACCAUUCUCUAUCCAUAUUUAAGAGUCAAUGCCGUGGCUUGUGUGGAUUUUUCUUUUCUAUUUUAAUUUUAAUAGUAUUUCACUCAAUGCAGUAGGAAUCAGGAAAAACUAUUUAUUUUUAUAUAAUUAAAAUUUAUGAUGAAUCAUUAUUUUUAAAUAUACAAAUUAUAACAAAUAAUUUAUAAAAAACAUAUAAUUAAAUAUUUAAAUUUAUGAUCAACAAUUUAAAUUGUGAUAUAAACUUAUUUUUAAUUACAGGUAAUUAAAAAACCAUUAAAAUUCUAAUGGAGAUAUUAAAAAUAAUAUUUUUCGAUUUUAGAGACUAAUUUUUUUUUAAAAAAUUAUUUGGACUUUGGAGGACUAAAAUAAAUAGAUCGGACAAAAAACAUAAAUCAAAAUUAAAAAAUUGAAACUGAAAAAAGUAAUUAAAAUAAUUUUUAAAUUUUUCUAUAAAAGUUUAACCUUAAUUAUAAACUAAAACUUGAACCACCCAAAACAAAAUUUCCAGGUUUAAAAAAACUAAGAUUUAUAUAAAAAUAUCAUAUAAACAUGAUCAUUUAUUUAAUUAUAUAUUUAUAGAUUACUUAUGAUUUUUAUAAAAUAUUUAUAAUUUAAUAAACUAAGUUAAUAUAAAUGUACUCUUAUAGUUAUUAGCUAAUUUUUAUCACGAUCAACUAAUUUAGUCACUCUCUCACACACACACACGCAUUUUUUUAUAAUAUAAAUUUUGUUAUUUUUUUCAGCCUUAAUUUGAUCCACCAUUCUCUAUCCAUAUAUAAGUGUUUUUGUCGCUAGCAUUUUGGCAUUUCAAAUUAUUUGCAUUCAUAACAUCAUAAAUAUAUAAUCACAAGUCGAAUUAGAUAAAUAUACUCUUCGCCAACAAGAUUUGGUUUAGUUCUAAGUUUCUUUUUAAGAAAAUAAAUUGAAACUUUUAAAUUUUAUUAAGAAAUAUUUCAGGUUACCUUAUGAGGUCUCUUUGGGCUAUGCAAGCCUUGAGAAUGUUUCAGGUUUGAAGUUGAAGUGGGCGUAUGCAUUGCAUGGGAAUUGGGUCAUCUAAUAUGGCAAGUUAUGAGUCCAAACUAAAACCAAUCAUGGCACCUAUGAGACUAUGACUUCAACUAAUCGCCAAUAACAUAGCACCACCAAUCACCAUGGAAUCAUGUUCAAAAAUUAAUUUGCAGUUCUUGAAGUAUUCCUAAAACGAACAAGAAACACGUUGGUUCGGUUUUCACUUUCAGGAUUUUCUCUGAAUAACAAAACUUGUCAUGGUGUUUAUAUUUAUUCCGUUUAUUUUGGGACAGAUAAUUAUGUGCUUCUGGCAUUAUUAAUUGCAGCUUUGGUCUUUUAAUUCCAACUUGUUUCUAGAUUUGCUCUGAAGUGAAAUUCGACACUUCAAUUACACUGAUUUGAAUAGAGAACCUUAUUCUUCUAUGCGUGUAUCUGUUAAGUUGGUAUUUAUGAUUCCUACAUUAUAACUAAGCAAUUGUACUUGUACUUAAUUGUGUUUGAAAUAUAUAUACAAGUGCGUGUACAGCAAAGAAUACACGUCAGAAAUUCUACAUGAUAUUACUCCAUAAACUCAUAUAUAACUAAAAAUUAUUAAUCCAAUUUCAUACUAAUUAAAAAAUUUAGUUUAUAUCAUUUAAUUUUAUUAAUCUCAAAUAAAAUAAUAAUAAUUUACAUUAUCAAUCAAUAUAAAGAAUUUUACGUACCUUAUCAAUCAAUUAUAAAUAUAUGAUAUUUAAAAGUAAUUAUUACGAUCAACAAAUUUAUCAAACAAUUUUUUUAACCAAAUAACUUUAUCAAACAUGACAAUAUCUUAAUCAAAAAUAAUGUAACUUUUUUUACACUAUUAAUACAUUUUAAUUCUUACAUUUUACCUAUAAUCAAUUAUUUAUCCUUUUAAUUUUGCUAACACCAUUAAUGCUAAGAAUACAAAAGUAGUAUAUCCAAUAAUCUUGUUCUGAUGUAUAUAGUAAUAAUAAAUUUGAAUUUUCUAUAAAAAAAAACAUUUGGAAAGUCGUUUGAGUGAUGCCUUAAGCGUAUGUGCACCACAUAUAUAACCGGGAUCUACUUUAAUAUUCAUAUUUUAAUUGAGUUUAAUUAAUCAUUUGAUCCUUAUAAUUUCAUUAUUUAUAUAUUUUAGUCUAUAUAAUUUUAAAAUGGUUUUUUAGUUUUUAUAAAUUUUAUUUUAAUUCUCUUUUAGUUUAUAUAAUUUAAAAGUGGUUUUUUUAGUCCUUAUAAUUUAUAUUUUAAUUUUUUUUUAGUUCUUAUAGUUUGAAAGUGAUUUUUUUAGUCUAUAUACUUUAUAUUUUUUUUUUUUUUAGUCCUUACCAUCAAAAUACGAGUAAUAUUAUCAAUUACAAUUAACUAUAAAAAUAUUAACAAAUAAUUUGUAACUAAUUUAUCAUAAGAUAAUUUGUAAUAAAAAAAUAGUUGAUAAUUUAUAACUAAUUUUUAGCUAAUUAUAUAUAUAUAUAUAUAUAUAUAUAUAUAUAUAUAUAUAUAUAUAUAUUAGUAAGAACUAAAAGGUAAUUAAAAUAUAAAUUAUGGAAACUAAAAAGAUCACUUUCAAAUUAUAUGAACUUAAAAAAGUAAAUUACAAAUUAUAAGAAUUAAAAAAACCACUUUUAAACUAUAAAGACUAAAAGAGAAUUAAAAUAUAAAUUAUAGGAAAUAAAAAAAUCACUUUCAAACCAUAAGAACUAAAAUAUACGAAUUAUAUGAAACUAUAGAAACCAAAUGAUAAUUUAACCUUUUAAUUAUAAGUUAUGGGAUUAAAAAAAUGGUUAAGAAAAGAUUUAGAAUCAUUUAGAAGACGUUAAUUAUAUAUAAUAUUUUAUUAAAAAAUGUUAUAUAAAAGAGUAAAUGUAUUUAUAUCUUAAAAAUAUAUAAAAAAAACAGAUUUUCUGUGAGAAUAAAAGAUACCACUUUUCUUUUAUUGGUCUAUAUUAAUGAUUAGUUUUUUGUUUUUGUUAGUAGAAGAAUUCAAUUCAAACUUAUGAUCUAUUCUCUUUCAUUUUUCGCUCAUUGUAAAUCUUUAUAACCCCGUAAAUCAUUCAAAAAUCAAUAUUUUUUAUUUAGUAAUUAGGAGGAUUAUUAAUAACAAUAAUUAAAGGAUUUAAAAUAAUUUUGAAAUCUCCCUGAUCAAUUUAACAAUUAUAAAUAAAUCCUAAAUAUCUUUAAUAUUAGAUACUUUUUAUUGAAUACAUUUUAUUAAAUAUGUAAAAAAUAUUAAGAAGAUAUAAAUAAAAUCAAAGAAUGAAUAGAAGAGCUCGUGAGUCAAAGUUAAUAAUAGAUGGUGAAAAGGGGCUAGCAUUAAGCGUUCGAAAUUAUGACUUAGAUAGUAAUGAUGGAGUAGUAUUUAACGUGUUUGAGGUAAACAAUUUAUUAAGGAUUUUCCUAAUAAGCAUUGACUUUGAUGUGCUUUAAUGAUUCUAGGUUUGAGAUCUCCUACAUUGACCAGUACGUAUUUUGGUGUGCAUGAGAUGUCGAAGAAAUUAGGUGAGUACCUCAGAAGACAUUCUAAUAACAAUCAAUAAGUUAUUAAGAAUUUUACCAUAACCAUGAUCACGAUGGAUAAUAAUGAUACUGGCUCACCGUAAAAUUUGUCAAUGAGCUAAGAUGUUAGUCACAUAAUUCUGUUUUUAACAGUUCUAAACUAACAUGAUUAUUGACUCUCCUAAGUCCUAAUAAUCACGUUCUCGAUCUCUUUCUUAUUCCUCAGUGGAUUUUUUUUUCUUCAUCAACCAUUAAAGAGUUGACGACAAUGGCCGAAUAACAAGCAGGCUUAUCAAUUAGCAGCAGUCCAAAAUUUAAAUCAUGGUACUUAAAUUAAAAAUAACUGAUAUUUGUAAAGAAAAAUAUAGAAAACCUUGAUUAACCUAAUAUAAGAACAAUGAAAAAAAAGUUUAAUAGUGAACUCAAUAAAAGUUAAAGAUGCUACAGAAAAAAGCAAAAUAAAAAAAUAUCAUGUCUAAAACUAACCUAAUGAACCUAUAUAUAAUUUGGGUUCACAUAAUUUUUAACUUAUAAAACUUGUAAUAUAAUCCUUUUAAAUUGAAAUUUUACUUAGUUAACUUAAGCUCUAUCAUUUUAUAUUGUUUUGCUUUGUAAUGAUAUAUAUGUCAGUUCAAACCUAAUUCAACUACAACUGAUUCAUUAAAUUGUAAAGUAGUAUUUUUACGGGUUUAAAAACACGUAAUUACAUACUACUCUACACUACUGUAAUUUUUUUUGUAGAAUUUUUUUUUCCAAACUUAAAAUGACUUAAUUGAGUUCUAUUUGGUUUACAUUGAAAAUCAAUUUCUCUCAUAUAUCAUUAUAUAUGUUUUAAUGUAAAAUGUAUUAAUAAUAAAAUUAUUUUAGACAAACAUAUCUCAACCACAUUUAAUGAUUUAAAAUUAAUUUUAUUAUAAUUAAUUCUUUAUUAAAAUUUAAAACAACUGGACACUUAUAAUGGCAUGUAAAGGAGCUAGCAUAGCUAAUUAACCUUCGUAUCAUCGUAUGAACACCAUAUUACGCUGGUCUCACUGAUUUAGAACUAGGUUCAUUAGGUUAGUAUUGGACAUGAUAUUUUUCAUUUUGCCUUUUUUUCGUAGCAUCUUUUUUUUUUUUUUUAAUUGUGUUCACUAUUACUUUUUUUCAUUGUUCUUGGAAUUGUUUUAAUCAAAGUUUCUAUGUUUUCGUUGACAAAAUUCUCAUUUUUAAUUGAAGUACCUUGAUUCAACUUUGCUAUUCAACCCUUGUAUUCUUGUUGGGUUCUACCGUUAUAGACUCGAUGGCAUCAACUUUUUAAUGGUCGACCAUUAAAAAAAAAAAAAAUCCACUAAGGACUAGAAAAGAGAAAAUGAGAUUAUUAGGAGAGUCAAUAGUCAUGCACUCAUGCUCGUUUAUAACCGUUAAAAAUAGAAUUACGUGAGUAACAUCUCUGACGCAUAGAGUGACAAAAAUUAUACGUGAGCCAAUAUAAUACAUUUUUAUUUUAAAAAAUAAUUUUUAAAUCAGAUUAUUUCCUUUUAAGAUCAAUAUAGAACAUGCUACAUACUCGAUUAAAGAACAAAAAUAGAAUACCUGUAAAUAACUUACUAAAAAUAAUUAAAUUAAUGAUAUUAAUCUACAAUAGCCAAUGUCAAUGCAUAUAAAUUAGUGUAUAUCGUAAAAUAAUUAUUACCAAUUUAAUAUCCAAUUUUAGCUUUAAAAUUUCAUAUAAAAUUAUUUUUAAUUGAUUUGAUACAUAUGAACCCUCUACUUUUGAUUCUAAUAUCAAUUCUUAACUAUUAAACUAAUAGAUUUCUUUGACAUAUACGUGAAAAUUAUAGUAUAUCUAAGUUAAAUGGUGGCGAAAAUUGUACAUAUAUUUACGAAUACUAAAUAAGUACAUUUCUAUUUAUUAUAUAUGUUUUUUUAUUAAUAAUGUAAUUGAUAAAUUAAUACUAACAAUAUUAUUACCAAAAAAAAUGUUAAUAUAAUGUGUUAAUAUGUUGUGAUACCAAAAGCCAACUUAUGGUUUAGAUACUCUUGAAAACUAAAAGCCCAAUAGUAUUGUAUACUCUUUGUUUUUUUUUUUUGGAAACACAAAAAGGACAAAGGUCCAAAGAAAAUUACAUAAUGAUCCUACAAGUGUUACUUACUUCACUCUCAUCUCUAGAAAGCAACUCUCUUAAAAAUAUAGACUGUUGGUAAAAAAUCGAUUGCUCUCCGUCCAUACUACAAGCAUAGUCUGCUAAUUCAUAUAUUGUAUACUCAUUUUUAUAUUAAUGGCAAUAAUAAUAAUGAGUACAAAUUAAUAGAAUUAUGUGUAACUUUAAAUCAAAUAUAUGAAUAUCACUUGCUAGUUUUGUCCCUCAAAAUAUUUAGUCAGGCUUGGUCACUGCAAAAUGGUGUCCUUAAAAGAAAAAACCUAGCAUAUGCUUCAAUACAUCACAGAAAAAAUCAAAUUCGUUGCUAGAAAUAUUCAAAACAGAACAUGUUCAUUGAUUUAGGAAUGCAUAAGAGCACUAAAUUCUCCAACCUAAGGAGUGCACUCUCAUGCUGCUUAACCAAUCACAAAUCCAUCGCUUUAACACAUACAACAGAUGAGUUCGAAUCCAUCGCUUUUGAGGUAACCAUGAUGAUGAUGGUAACAAAAAUAAAAUCGCAAGAAAGUACUACACCAUAUGUUUCAUCACAUUAAUCUCAAAGAUGGGAAAAUUAGAGCCCCCAAGAAGGCAACUCCCUGACAUUCACACAUUCCCAAUUCAUACAAAAUAUGAACUAAAAUAUUAAAAACAUCUGCAUUCAUUAAUAUCCAAAUAAUCCGACAUGCCACCACAAAGAGAGAUCCAUUAGUGUCACGAGGAUUUACUUGAAGCUAAUCACGUGAGCUGAGAGAAAAAAAAAUCGUUUCUGAGCAAAUCACAGCACUUCACAAAUUAGUCUUAUUCUAUAGCCACUGGUUUGUACUUUUAGCUGAGUCAGUACCACAUCAGCAAAAACCCAUCAAUAAAGGUGCUCUUCAUUUUCAUUUGGAUGUCCUUGAGCUGUAUCAAACUAUCUUCUAUGUGAACAUAGGGAAUCAAACAUAGAAGUUAUGUUAUGUUCAUCUAGCCACUUAUUAUACAUACUGACAUGACACCUCACCUUUCCUAUUUCUGAUUUAUAGGAGCCUUAACUUUGAGAAUUGAUUUCCAUAUGUACUAGCAACAUUGGUUGAACAUUGAGGAUAUGAAUACCAUCCAAAUAUUUGUAAUAUAAAAAAUUUCACCCACAAUGUCUUGCUUAUGCUGAAUAUCCAAGGGGGUAAAGAACCAUAAAGAUCUUCACCAAUGAACCACAUAAAACAUUAGAUUUGCACAUCUUUCUCACUUAUAUAUUACUCAACUUGUCAAUUUCUACCCAAUGUGAUCUUUACACUUGAAUUCCUACAAAUUUGAAUAAUUUUCUUCAUUAACUAAGUCUUCAUUUACCAAAAAAUACGGGGAAAAAAAGGAAGAAAGAGUUAGUUAAUUGCUUGCUUCGUUUUCUUUGCUUCUUCUUUAGCCACUGCAUAUUUCCUUGAUGGCAGCUUCAAGGUAAAUGAAGACUAAAAAAUACUUCAACUUGCGGAUAAUAAAUUAAUAAUACCUGAUUUUCUCGGCAUACCAAGGUAAGUAAGGAACUAUAUUUUGACUUUCUGAGUCUGCAUUGUAUGAAUCCGAUUUAUUCAAGUCUAUAAUGUUGGCAAAUGACCUGAUUUUGCCAAUAGUCGCCUAUGUGAUCGAUGGCAAUAAGAUUGAAUAACAGCCUUGAUUGGUCCAUUUUUGGAAGGUUCAUAAUUUCGAGAAUUUUUUUUUUUAAAAAAUCUUAUGAAAAUAACUAAAAAAAAAGUUGAAUGAAAGAUGUAAUUAUUUCUUACAAAAAACGCAACAUCUUAGGUCUUAGGUCUUACAUUGAAAAUUCCCUUUGAAAGCCUUCAAAUAAGAAAUUUCCCAGAUCGACCAUUGUUAACUGCCAAGUAAAUGUCCAUUUUAGGUCUUAACUUCCAAAUUUAUCCCAUUAAAGGGCUCAUAUUCCACGAAACAUAAUUACUACGAGUAGUGCAUAUAUAGGGAGGGAUUGCUGGACCUAUAAACACCAUAGUCUGUUCCGCGGGAUAUAUAUUCACAACUUUGAUUCCAUGUAAAUUUUGCAGUCUACAGAAUUUACUAUUGGAGUCACAACCUUUACACAGGAAUACUCCUUUGUUGCGCACGUGUUCAAUGUUAUAAUGCAUACCAAACAAAAUAUACUCAGUGUAAAAUUUUUAUAUUAUCAUUAAAAUAUAAAUUGACAUAUGAUAAAAUAAUUUAACUUUAUAAUUAUUAUUUUAAAUUAUACUAAAGUUGCUAAUUUUUUUGUAGAAUUACAUUUCAUUUUUUAUUUCAUUAAUAAGCAUAACAGUAUCCAUUCCAAAAAAAUAAAACAAAAAAGGGGGUCUUCUUAUGUGACGCCAUUUGCCGUGUCACAAUUGAUACCGUUAUGUAAUAUGUAUGCAAACCUCUUUCUUAUAUUGACGAAUGGUUAAACAAUUGCCUGGUUUGUUUGCUUGCUUCAUUUUUCUCUGUUUUUCUGUAGCCACUGCUCGUUUCUUCAUUGGUCAAGGUAAAAAUAGUUCUACUUUUGAUAAAUAACACAUUAAGGUAGGUAUGGAACUAUUCUUUUUUCUUUUUCUUUUAACCAAGGUAUUCCUCACAGGUAUUUUUUUCAUAUACCAGUCAAGUAUCAAACUCAUGAUUAUAUGUUUAAGAAAUAAGUUUAUCUACGGAUUAUGUCACACUAUCUUGGUGGUAUGGAACUAUUCUUAUCCUGAAUUGUAUGCAUCUAAGUCUAUCAAAUGUUGGCAAAUGGCCUCCCGUGUGUGGGGCCAUAAGUUUGAAAAUAAGCUUAUUUAUGAAACAAAAUAAAAACAUGCAGCAGCCACAGAGAUUGUAGGUCUUCAAAUAAGAAAAUUCCCAUUGAUCAUUCUUAACUACCAAACUUAUCCCAUUCUAUUAAAGGCCUCAUUUCCACGAAACUCACUUCAUAUAGGGGCUGCUGGACCUAUAAAACACAAGUCCUUCCCUCUUGAUCUAGCAUCAUAUCUACAUUCACUACUUUGAUUCCCUGAGGUUUCUGCAAUCUACAAAAUUCACUAUGGGAAUCACAACCUUUACACAGGAAUACUCCUCCUCUGUUGCCCCAUCACGCAUGUUCAAGGCCUUGAUUGUAGACUCCAGAAAUUUGCUUCCAAAGCUCUUACCUCAGUUUGUAAAAGAUGUGAAUGUAAUCCAGGGUGAUGGUGAAGCUGGAAGCAUUGAACAAGUUAACUUCAAUGAAGGUUAGCAAUCAAAUUAACAUGAACUAGCUAAAUUGAAACAGGAUCACUUCUCCAAAUUUCUUGAAUUAACUUGUUACGUAUUUAUUUUUUUCAGAUAACCCCUUCAAAUAUCUGAAACACAGGAUAGAUGUGCUUGAUAAGGACAACUUGGUUUGCAAAUACACUAUGAUUGAAGGGGAUCCAUUGGGUGACAAGCUUGAGUCUAUAGGUUAUGAGGUGAAGUUUGAGGCUACUAGUGAUGGAGGUUGCCUCUGCAAAAUGACAAGCAAUUACAAUACCAUUGGAGAGUUUGAUGUUAAAGAGGAAGAGGUAAAGGAAGGAAGGGAAAGUGGUAUUGCAGUUUACAGAGUUGUGGAGUCAUACCUGCUAGAGAACCCACAAGUGUAUGCUUAAUCAUCUAUUUAUUUAUUGUGUCAUGUAUCAUAAGAUAUACAAACAUAUUCAAAUUUUUAAUAGCAGUGUGCAACCAAAUAUAGGGUUGUUUAGAAUGGUUGCAAAGACUUGAAUUCCUUAAUAAGUCCUUAUUGUAUGAACAGCAAAAAAAUGGCGAGUGGUUUGGCAAAAAUAUUUGUAUUUUGGUAGUAACAAAGAGUCCAAGAGUAGUUUUUUUUACCUUUACUUCAUGAAUUCCAAUGUACUUAAACAAAGAAGCAACAAUUCAUUUCUGUGUAAACGUGUGUUUGGAUGGUUGUAAACAGAAAAACAAACAAACGCAAAGACUUUAAUUUGAAUCACAAUCAAAUGAGCUAAUAAUACACUAAUGAUAUUGACGUCUUGGAUGUACAAGAGGUAAGUUCAUGAUUAACAUAAUUCUCUUCUGCUUCACAGCUGGAAUGAGGGAUUAGAGGUACCAAAAGAUAAAUUUCAGUAUUUUAAAUUUUCUUCACCUUUUUGUCAUUUUGGGUUUCUCACUUUCUAUACCUUUCAACCGUAAACAAACAAAAAAUAUGGUUAUUCAAGGCAUGCAUAUAGCCAUCUGUAUAUUUCUCAAUUACAAACUUCAGAGUUCAGACUAAGACAUUUCCCUUCUUGCUCUUUAAAGACGGGCAUGUCCUGGGCAUGGCAUUUCUACCAAAAAGGAGGGUGAAUGUUACUUGACCCACCCUGUAAACUAAUGUUUCAUUCUGAAUUCUUAUUUGCUGUUCACUUUGGUAUAGUAGAAAGGUAAGGAUUGAUUAUAUUAUUCAUAUGUGAAGCAACAUAUUUAUAAAACAUAUGCAAAACAGACUGCUAACAGAUAAAUAAACCACUAAUAGUUCAUGCAUAAAAAAUAGGAACAGAAUAGAAUCAUCCUAUCAAUUAACAUGAAUUUUAAUUUUUCCUAAAAAAUAGCAUAAAAUCUGAUCUUCUAGAAUUGAGUUUGUUACACUUCCAACAGUUACAUCUUCAACACUUCUAAUCAUUUAUCAUGUAGUACUAGGCCCUUGGAGUCUUUUUAAGACCAUAUAAGUCCUUUUUCAACUUGUAAACUUUCUUUUCCUCUCCUUUGAUUUGAAACCCCUUAGGUUGGUCUACAUAAAUCUCAUCUUGCAAGUAACCAUUUAGAAAAGCAGAUUUUACAUCUAAAUGGUAAACUUUCCACCCUUUAUGUGCAAUCAAGGCAAGUAGCAUUUUGAUUGUAUUGAGGUGUGCAACUGAAGCAAAUGUUUCUGAAAAAUCAACUCCAAACACCUGAGCAUAGCCUCUCACCACCAGCCUAGCCUUGUGUUUAUUUAUAGAAUCAUCUAAAUUGAGUUUGGUUUUAUAAACCCAUUUGAGACCUAUAGGGUUGCUUGUGUUGAGAUCUGUCCACUAGCUCCUAAGUGUCAUUUUUUUAAUCAUCUUCAGCUCUUCCUUCAUAGCAUUUAUCCACUUGUCAUCCUUCUCAGCUUCCUCAAAUUCUGGAGGUUCUAAGACAGCCACAUUACACCUUUGAUAGAUCUUAGAUAAAGGUCUUGUACUUCUGAUAGGAAUGUCAUCUACAUGAUCAUCAAAGAAUUGUGGGGUUUCUGGAAGCUGCUUGCUUAUUGGCUUCUCCCAACUCCAUUGUUGAUCUUCCAUGAACUUGACAUCUCUACUCACAAGAAUUUUUUCCUUUUUGUGGUUGAAAAUUUUUGUAAGCUUGGGAAGUGUCAUUGUAUCCAAUGAAAACUCCAGGUUUUGCCUUCUAAUCAAAUUUGUCUCUUUUAACCUGUGGAACAUAAGAGAAACAAACACAACCAAAUAUUUUUAGAUUUUGUAAGUCUGGUUUGUACCCAAACCAUCCUUCAAAUGAGGGUUUUUUUGUUCAAAAAUCUGGUUGGAAGCCUAUUCAACAAGAAUAUAGCAGUGUUUGCAGCCUCUGCCCAUAACUUAUUUGGCAACUCCUUUUCAUGAAGUAUACAUCUUGUCAUCUCCAUGAUGCUUUUAUUUUUUCUCUCACUUACACCAUUCUAUUGUGGAGUGUACGACACAAUUAGUUGGUGCUCAGUGCCAGUUUCUUCACAAAACUUAUCAAAGAUAUCACUUAUGUAUUUCUUCCCAUUAUCAUGCCUUAUUAUUUGCAACCUACAACCACUUUGAUUCUCCACCAAUGCUUUAUAUUUCUAAAAAAUACUAGCAACCUCAAUCUUGGAUUUAAAGAAAUAAAUCCAAUAAUAUCUAGUAUAAUCAUCAAUAAAAGUAAUAUAGUAUUGAUUACCAUUUAAAGAUGAUACUCUCUAAGGUCCCUCAACAUAUGUGUGAACCAGCUACAACCUUUGAGUUGCUCUCCAAACUAUUUGAGGAAAUGGUUUUCUAACUAGCUUACCAAGGCAUGUUUCUACAUGUAUAAUAGUCCAAUAAGGUGGAAAUGUCCAAGUCUUUUGUGUUAUAGAUCAGAUAGGUGGUUGUGCUUGAAAAAGUUAUUUGCUCCUCCUCCAUAAGAUUUAGAGCAUAGCUUUUAGCUUUCAUUUUCACCCUGCAUACAUCUUUGUCUUUUACAUCUUUGAUCAAGCACCAAUUGUCUUCAAAUAUGACUUUGAAUCCCUUUUCUACUAGCUGUGCAAGACUGAGCAAAUUUUGGUCAAUAUCAGGCACAUACAAGACAUCAGAGAUAUGUUUUAGACCUACCAAGCUUUCAAUAGCAACAAUCCAUUUUCCCAUGACUAAGAUGAAAUCACCGUUUCCAAUUUUUACUUUGGAAACAAUGGUUUUGUCCAACUCUUUGAAGAGCUUUUGGUCGUUGGUCAUGUGAUUUGUGCAGCCGUUGUCUAUCAACCAUGAAUCACUGGAAAUGUUGCUUGUAGAAAAGCAAGUUGCAACAAAGAGUUGUUCUUCUUCUUGUUCCUCCACAUUCUCCUUUACCUCCUCCAAUUUAGACUUGCAAAUUCAUUCUAUAUGUCCCAAAUCGCCACAUUUUCUGCACUUGAUAUUCGACCUCCACCAACAUUUUCUCUAGGGAUGGUUUGUCCUUUUGCAAUGUGAACAAGGGGGAAAAGUCUCACCUUGCUGCUUGUUGGAGUCUUUUGAAUUUUUGUUCUUCCAUUUGUUGUUCUUCUUCUCUUUGCCACCUUUUGAAUUUUGUGCUUUUGCAUGAAAAGAACCUUGCAGAGCCUCCUCCUGUCUCAUCAUUCUUCUUUGCUCUUGAACCUAUAAAACACUUACCAAUUCUCCCAAGGUGAUGGUUGAAAGAUCUUUUGCUUCCUCCAACACUGAUAUCUCUAAUUCAUACUUUUCAAGUACAACAACCAUAAAUUUCUGCACUAUUCUUUCAUCAGAAAAGUCAUUCCCAAGAAGUUGCACUUUGUUUGCUAUGCUUAACAAUCGGUCAACAUAGGCUUUAAUUGUUUUCGUCUCCUUCAUCCUCUGCAUCUCAAAUUCUCUACUUAAGUUGAGCACUUUCAUGCCUUUGGUUCUUUCAAAGUCAUAGUAUUCUUUUUUGAGAUAAUCUCAAAUCUCUUUAGCAGAUUUGAAAUUCAUAAUUCUUGUAAAAAUAAUUUUUGACAGCAAAAAAAGGAAAAUUCUAGUCUUAGCCUUUUUUGUCUUCUUCUCCUUAUGAUUCUUCAUUUGAGCCAUUGUUGAAUUUGUAGGCAAUUCAGGAACAUCAUAAUUUUCUUCUACUGCCUCCCAAAGAUCCAAUGAUUCAAGAUGACUGAUCAUCCUUGUAGCACAUAACUCAUACUCCUUACCAUAAAAAAUUGGUGGUGGACCCAUUGUGUAUGUCUCUCCCUCCAUUAGUGUUUCUCUCAACUCAGAGAUCCCUCAAAGAUAAAAGCUUUAGAUACCAAUUUGUUGUUUUUAUGUAUAACAACAUAAUAUAAAGUGUAGUGGGUAAGGAAAAACAAAGAGGAAAUUGUAAUGGUGGACUUAUAUUAUUCAUAUGUGAAGCAACACAUUUAUAAAACAUGCAAAACAGAACCGCUAAUAGAUAAGUAAACCACUAACAGGUUAUGCCUAAAAAAAAUAGGAACAAAAUAGAAUCAUCCUAUCAAUUAACAUGAAUUUUAUUUUCCUAAAGAAUAACAUAAAAUCUGAUAUUCUGCUGUUUGAGUUUGUGACACUUCCAACAGUCACAUCUUCAACAAUUCCUUCCAAACUGUGUGAAAGAAACCACCACUUGAUGAAAAAGAAUUUGCGGAAAGGACUAGAAACUUUCCGUACAACUUUAUACUGAAUUUGUUUAAAUUAUGCAAAAAGACUUUCAAGCAGGAUGAUACAAUUUUAGUAUGGAGUCGCCCAAAAAUGAUAUUCAGAAAGAGCAGUUAAGGCGAUCUGCAGCUGACAUUCUCCGGGAUAAAGCUUUAUUGAUUCAUCAUUGUGAUAGUUUUCUUCGUUGAAAAAACCUUAAUAUAGGAACUCACCAAAUGCCCUGUGAUGCUAUUGCACCCGAAUUCUAAAAUAUGAAUGGAUUAAACAAAAACCAAUGAGCACCCAAACACUGUCUGUAUUUGUUUUUGCCUACCCUUACGAGAGAUGUCAAGUUCAAGGUUUCUUCCUUCCAACCAAGGUUAAGUCACAAACCAUAUAUAAUUGCCUUCUUUGUGACGAAAGCAUUAUAGCCAACGGUUUGUCAACCUUCACCCGCCCUACCGUUUAAGCUUUUAGACAGUGUUGGAAUUGGAUAUGCCCCCAGCCUCAUAUCUUCGGCAUCACUCAAAUUCUCAAUUAAAGAUAACAACUGAGAUUCGGCCUUACAAUUUACAAAUGUCCAUAGAGAACCUCUGAAUUCUUUCCUGAAUCAUCACCCCUCUUCCGUGGACCAUUUUUCUCUUUCUAUCUCCCCUUGGCCCCCAAAAACAAAAAAACAAAAAAAAUGAUUCCUUGCAUUUCCCACAUGUCUUGCCUUUAACAUAUUCCUUUCCCGUGCAAGGCAUGAACAGAUGGAUUCCAUUCACAGGUUCUCCAUAUCCAUAAUCCACUUCCUUAAAAACAAAAGCAU